UUUUCCUCAGCAUUUGCCAUGCGCAGGCUCUGCAUGUGCUCAAGGCCCAGUGGGCAUUCACUCUUUGUUUAUAAAUGACAGCUGUGGUGACAGGUUCCUUACCUGCACAUAAGGUUUUGAGCCACAGUGAGACAUGAGACAUUUACAACCAUUCUCCACCCCAGCCGGGUUCCCAUGUGGCAUUCUGGGAGUGAGCACAACAUCCAGUCUUCAUGCAUCAUUCCAACCCCUAUUGUGUCUGGAUGUCCAGUGCCAUUUGCUGAGACCUUGCAGAGAAAUGGAAGCCACAGCCAUCACCAGAGCUAAGACACCUUGUGAUCUUGCUGGGAGCCACCACCACUUGGCAGCACUCUUCCUGGCCAAACCCUAGAUACUCUUCCUUCCAGAUCUGCACACUUUUUGAUGAAGACCGAAGUCUGAAAACUCCUGUCUGCACAGAAUGUGAGUGACUCCUCUGUGAAGUCCCUUCUUUCAGCACUAGUGGACACCGAUGCUCGCUGGGAAAUUCAACCUCAACCAGAUGCUUCAGAAGCAAUACAUGCCCCUGAAACAAGCCAGUCAGCAGAGACGGAACAAAAGAAAUGUGGUCUUCUACCCUUCAACCUCGCGGCUUCCCAGAUUGCCUCUGGCAUGAUGUCCCCAGGAGGAGACAGCCAGGCUCUUCCUUCCACCCUGGUCUCUCCCGAAGCUGUUGGCUCUUUCAAGUGUGUGCUUUGUUUCACAUAUACAUGCCCUUUUCCAGGUUAAUACAACACAAAUUAUUCCCUUGUGGCUUCAACUCAGUGUAGGCCCUGCUGCUGGACACAUGGGUUGUCUCCAGUCCUUCCCUUUCUGGCAAAGCAGCCUUGACCUAUCUCCUUUCUCUAUGAACAGUCCCUAGAGUGUACACAGGGCCAAGGGUGCAGUUUCAAUUUAAUAGAAGUGGUUGGCUAUGUAAGUGUGUGUUGAAUGACUGAUUUUGAAUAGCUCUGAACGUAUUCAGUUGCCUGAAGAAGGCCCACGUGGCCUUGACAGCAGAAAGGAUGCCCAUUCCUGUUUGUUAUUGGUCGUUUUUUGUCUUCCUUCCUUCUUUUCUUUCCUUCUUUAUUUCUUUCUGUUUCAGACACAGGGUCAAUAUACAGCCUUGGUUGGCCUGGAACUCAUUAUGUAAACCAGGCUGGUCUCAAACUUAGAGCGAUCUCCUUGCCUUUGGUUCCCAUGUGCUGAGAUUAAAGCCCAAUUUGUCUUUGACUCUUAACCAUACUGGGGAUUAACCUCAGGGCUAGUAAGUGCUCUGGCACUGAGCUUGUAUCCUCUGCCGUCUUCUUACUCUAAUUUUGAGGUAGGCUCUACUAAGUUUCCCAGCUUGGCCUUCAGCUCACUAUGCAUUCCCAGGCAGGCCUUAUCAUGAUCCUCCUGAUUCAGCUUCCUGAAUUGGUGAGUGUUGGCCACCAUCAGUCUCAUUCCUGUUAAUGAUAAGGAUGUGCUUCAAUCUCAGUGCAAGUAUGCUUCCCUCUUGUCCUAGCUGGAACUUCUGGGAUGAAGGCAGGAAGGUCAGAGAUUCAAGGCCAUCUGUAACAGAAGUUUUGGGUUCUUUGUCAACUCAGUUAUGUUAUGUAAAUACGUUUUUGUUUUAAUCCCAAGUGUGGGAUUUUAGUUGGGCUAUAGUUUGUCCACAUCUGUUAAUUGCCAGAAAGAGAUGGCAUGGUAUGUGGCGUUGGUGUGUGGGGUAUAGCAGUUUGGAGAGACCUGAGAGACGGACAGAUGGUAUGGCAGUUUGGAGCAGACAGACGGAGAGAAAUGCUUUGGGAUGCAGUGUCUUGAAGGAGACUGCUGGGUGGGUCUUGACAGAUUGGUACAGAGCCCUAAAAAAACCCUCUCGACCCUAAACAGCCCGGAGAAGUAAAGGGGCCCUCUCUCCCCACUAACCUUAUCUCUCCUACAAAGGAUUGGGAGGUUGGAAGAGAGGCUGAGGCCUAAACACCCCAAAUAAAGUACAGUUUUAAAAACGAGUGCUACCAUCCUUGGCUAUAUAGAGAGUUCAAGGCCAGGUUGGGCCAAAUAAAACCUGUCAAAAAAAAAAAAAAACAACAAAAAAAAAAACACAAGAGGACAGAGGGUGUGUUAGGUAGGGAAGAAGUGGGGAGACCCAGUCCUGGGGUAGGACCCCUGCUAAGGGCAGUGACAUUUCUUAGUGCCAGCUUUACUUUAGGAUGGAGAGGAAGGGCUGCUGGCUUGUUGCAUCUUGCAGCGCUGUAAGAGGGGAGCUUACUGUUGGCUUAGUGGGCAGAGACUGUCAUUCCAGCAUCCCUGGUAUGCCUGCCACCAGCAGGCUUCUGUACAUCCUCAUCUGCACCACCUCCUAGCAGCCUUCCCCACUCUGAUUUGGGCCAGCCAGAUGACUCUGUGGGUAAAGGCGUUGCCACCGUACACGAUGAUCUGAGUUCAAUUCCCGGGUUCCAUAUAAUGGAAGGAAAGAACUGACUUUUGUAGGCUGACCUCUGACCUUCACAUGUGGAGUGUGAAUGGGCUUAUGUGCCCACAUACACUCUCUUCUCACAUAAUAAAUGCAAGUAAUAAAUGAAUAGGUAGACAGACAGACAGGUAAAGAUGGCUUGCCCUGCCACUCUCUAGGAACCUGGCUCCUCCAGAGUAUAACCUUGACUUCUGCUCCCAGCCCACUCAGCACCUGCUGCUGUGGCUUACUCCUUUUCCAGCUCUGUCUCCCAGACUAUAAGAUGGGGUUCAGCUCACAGGGUGCAGAAAUGCCUGGGUGGGCCUGUCCCCGGAAACUCCCUUACCCAGGAUGCAUCUAAAGUUAGGUGUGGUGGUGCACACUUUGGAACCCCAGCACUCAGGAGGUAGAGGCAGGGGGAUGUAGACUCAGGAGUCAGCCUGAGCUACAUAGAGAGAGGCUGUCACAAAAUAAAAUGGAAACAAAAACUAUCCAGGUUUUUCUCAUGACACUUCACUGUCUCUGACCCCUUUAAUUCCCAGGCUCUGAGUGUCCCCCAGGCAACAUGACGCAGACUUUAGAGACCUUGACUCUACUCAUUUUUAAAAAAAUUAUAUUUUAAUCAUAUUCUUUCCUUCCCCUCUACUCCUCUCAGACCCUUCUCACCUCCUUGCCAACUUCCCUACUCUCCAACUUCAGUAUGUCAUGUAGACUAGGCUGGCCUCACACUUGCUAUGAAGCUGAGAGUGACCUGAGCUCUGGGAUGACAGGCAUGCACCUCCACCUGGAUUAUCAGAGCUGGGGGUGAUUAUCAGGGCUUCCAUGCUGGACAAACACACUGCUGCCACUGAGCCAUAUCCCCAGCCCCUGCUCUGUUCCUACCCUUGGCAGGUGGCUGGAAUACAGUUGGCACUCAGCAUUUACCAUAAGCAAAGGAAAAACAUUCCACACUGCUUUGAGAACAGGCCAAGGGUGAGGAUGUGACCUCCAGGUUGCUGUGUCUCCACAAUAUUAUCACAAUUCCCCUUUUGACAUCUGGGUUGCUUCACUAGGUUAGCCUGCCACUUCAAAGCAAGUGACCCUGAGGAAGAGGUGACAUGGCUUUAGGAGAAAAGAGUGCAUGUGCCCUUUCACCAGAAAACCAGUUAGGUAGGCUUGGACAGGCUGAGCCCACACGGACACUGGCCAUCUUCUCUUAAGUCCUAUACAGUCAAACUGGCAUCUCUGUGAACAUUGUUCCCCCGUAAGCACAGCACCAGAUCCCAAAGUGACCGCCUUCCCCAUCCUGCCUGAGCCAGUUUCCAUCCAUUCACUCAGCAAUUAUUUAUUGCGUAUAUGUCAGGCAAAAUGGAGGUCAGGCAGAUACAGUGGUUAUCAGUGAAGUCCCUGACUACCAGCUGUCAUGGCGCCCCAAAGAUGUCUACAUUAUAAUCUAGGAACCUGUAUGUCAACUAUAUGGCAAAGGGACUAUGCAGAGGUCCUUAAGUUAGGAAUUUUGAGGUUGUGUUUAAUCAUCUAAGUGGGCUAAUGUAACCACAAGGGUUCUUACAGGGAAACGGGGAUAGAGCCCACUUUCAGGAGACCUAACACCCUUUUCUGACCUCCUCAAACACUAUGCAUGCAUGUGAUCUACAUAUAUACAUGCAGGCAAAACACCCAUGCACAGAAAAUAAAUAAAUCUAAAAUCUUUUUAAUAAUGUAUUUAUUUUAUUUUAUGUACAUUGGUGUUUUGCCUGCAUAUAGGUCUGUGUGAGGAUGUCAGAUCUCCUGGAACUGGAAUUACAGAUAGUAGUGAACUGCCAUGUGGUUCUAGGACUUGAACUUGGGUCUUCUGGAAGGGCAGCCAUGGCUCUUAACCACUGAGCCAUCUCCCCAGCUCCUAAAUCUAAAUUUUUUGAAAAAUAAUUUCAAAACACCCACAGCAGGCAUUUUGCAAGGGUAGGCCACUCUAGGCACACAGCCAAGUCCAGCUGCACAGGCUCUGAAUCCCACCAAGAUCCAGCGAUGCAGUGGUCUAAGAGAAGUAGCAGCAGGGCCACAAGGGCCUCAGGGAGGAUCUAACGAUGGCUGGACUUAGUCCAGAGUGGGGAAAGCUCCGGGGAGAGUGCACUUGUGGCUUCACUAGGGCCAGCUGAGGAGGCACGGAGGAGAGGGGAUACACACCUAGACGGUGUGGUUCCCCUGCGAGCCUCUUCCCCCAUUCCUGCUAGGGACACUUCUUACCAUCUCCUUCCUGUGGCUUUCCACAGGAAAGCCUCCCUUCCCUGAUAGGUGAGGCUAACUUCUGGUUGUUUCUCAGUCUUCUCCACUUUCCCAUCAAUACCCCUUCUCUGUUCCGCCGCUCCACCUCUCCCUGCACACCUGUAUUCUGCAGUGCAUUGGACCCGGGUCAGCGUUUGAUCUUAACCACUGACCUUCCCCGUCAGCUCAUGUUGCAUAUUGCAGGCUUGGAGAUUGAGGCUCGAGACAUUAAGUAACUGCAGUCCUCAGGUACUACUCCACAAAGGUUGGCUUCCUGUGUUGCUGAUCCUAAAACUCCACUGUACACACAGUCUCUCCAGAGCCCCAGUCCCCACCAUAUCCAGGAGUCUCCCUCCCGGGUCAGUGUGAGUUUUCCUCCUGUAUGCUUUCUCUGCUUUGGGUUUUUCCUAAGCAAACUAACUUAAACGAAGCCAUAGCAUUAAUAUUACUGUUGCUUGUACUGUAUUGAUGGGGUCUUGCUAUGAACAGGCUGGUCUUGAAUUCUCAGUCCUCCUGUCUUGGCUUCUCAGUGCAGGGAUGACAAGCCCAUGACACUAUGUCCAGACCAAUAAAACCGUCUGAACAGACUUCUUAUGAAGCCUGCUGGUAGCCAUAGCAGAAAGUAAUUGCAGGGGCUGGGAAAAUUAAUGGUAUGACAGAUUACCACAGUGGUGCCUGCUAUCAAUCCAGCACUUAAGAGACUGAGGCAGGAGGAUUACAAGUUGAAGGCCAGCCUGGGUCACACUGUGGGUUCAAGGCUAGCAUGUGUUACAUAGUGAAACCCUGUCUCAAAAAUGACUCCCUAAAAAGCUGGAUGCAGUAGUAUACACACAAAAUCUCAGCAUUUGAGGGGUGGAGACAGGGGUAUGAGGAGUUCGGGGUCAGCCUUUACUAUGUAAUGAUUUUGAGGCCAGCCUAGGCUAUCUUUGACUCUGUCUCAAACAAAAACAAACAACCCCCCCCACACACACACAACUGAACCAGAGUGGAGCAGAACCCACAACACGGAAUGGAGGAAGCUGCUUAUUGCGUUUGCACUUGUUGAGCUCACCAGACCCAGACGGAAGACCCUAACAAACACCAGCUGAGCCUGCCUGCUUGCAAACCAGGCAGCACAGAGGGGUGGUGUCUGGUCCAAGGUUACACAUGCUGAGUGGGGUCUUCACUGCAGUCCCCGAAAGGAGGCCUUAGCAGAGAAACCCAGGCCACUGAAGAGUCUGUGACCCCAGGCUGAGUAAGUAGCUGUAGGCAAAUCAGCAUAGGAAAAUACAUCUUCCCUCCACAGGUAAAUUAGGGGUGACAUUUGACUUUCAAAAGCAUUCACAGACAGGUGGGAUGAAGGGUGAAUACUUGACAGUCUCUUUGAUGCUCUGACUCCUCCCUCCUUUCUUAAGCAAAGAAUAUGAAGCCACACAUGCUUUGCACGUGUAGCAGCAUCGUGCUGCCAGCACUUGAGAGGUGGAGGACUAUCAGGAGCUCUAGGCCAGCCUGGGCUACAUGGUGAGACCCUGUCUCAAAAACCUAAAGCCAGGCAUAGUGUGGUCCAUGCCUGUAAUCCCAGAACCGGGGAGAUGGAGACAAGGAGGAUCAAGAGUUCAAGGUCAUCCUCAGCGUAUAACUCAGUGAGAGGCCAGCCUGAGAUACAUGAAACCUGGUCUCAAAAAAAUAAAACAAAAGAGGGUGGUUUGCUGGACCAUAGGUAAUGCUGAUUUGGAUGAACUAUCUAUGGUCACUUGUGUCUUUGUGGAGAUGUUAGCAGAUCCUUUGCUGCCUUGUUAUGGUUGUUAGCUAUUGUGUUGUAGGAGUUCCUCAUAUAUUUUUUUAAAAUUACCUGUUGUGGUAGUUACCAUUUGUCCCAUCCAGCGGGAGUUCAACGGGUUCCUAAGGAGGGGCGAAAGAAUGGUGUAGGACAGAGACACAAAGAAUGGAGACCAAGUCAGUUUGUCUGAUCAGGCCUCAUUUAUUUGAGAUUUUUACCCAAUUUAUACAGGGAGAAGGCAGGAAAGGGGGGAGGCUAAUUUACUGCUGCAGAUGAUAGCAAGAGUGCUUUCAUGGCUUGAAUAUUGCACCUGCAAGAUACCGUAAGGAUGUUUACUUAAGAUAUCUCAAGGAUGCUCCAAGACUAACAAACGGAUGUUCUCACAAAUCUGUCACCCAUGACCUAGGGUCCUAGUGCAGCUGUUGAUAACUUUUCCACUAAUUGGCUUUGUCUCCACUAAAUGACCUUUGCUCACUAUUUGGCUUUGGCUUCAGUAAAUAGCUUUGGCUCCCAGCAACCAUUAACCACCAACUUGACACAACCUAUAGUCAUCUGAUGAGGGAGCCUCAAUGGAGGGAUUGCUCAGAUUAGAUUGACCUGUGUUGGGUGUUGUCUUCAUUGUCGGUUGAUAGAGGAGAGUCCAUCCCACUAUGGCCAGCACCAUUCAUUCCUGAGGCAGGUGGUCCUAGGCUGAAUAAGAAAGCUAGCUAGCCAUGACCCAUCAAGCAAGGCAGCAAACAGUGUUCUUCCACAGUUUUGGCCUCAAGUUCCUGCCUGAGCACCUGCUCUGAUUGCCCUCAGUAACAGACUGUGACCUGAAGUAGAAACCAAAUAACCCUUUUCCUCCCAGAGAUGCUUUUGGUUCAAGUGCUUUAUCACAGCAACAGACAGGAAACAGAAACAGCCUCUUAUUAGACAUGUGGCUCAUGAUCAUGUUCUCCCACUCUGGAGAUUGUAUUUUUUAAUGUUCAUCGUUUCCUUUAUUGUGCUAUUUUUAUAAAUAAAGUUUUAUUGGAACACA
Molecule: long non-coding RNA, 7455 nt
Organism: Meriones unguiculatus (Mongolian gerbil)
Lineage: Eukaryota; Metazoa; Chordata; Mammalia; Rodentia; Muridae
Exons: 2
Source: RefSeq, a predicted model, not a curated record